This 284-nucleotide ribosomal RNA is filed under the name uncultured prokaryote. RNAcentral's name for it is "partial 16S ribosomal RNA". It matches the Rfam family "Bacterial small subunit ribosomal RNA", at positions 524 to 819 of the family's 1533-position model. The record is from RNAcentral.
UACGUAGGGGCUAGCGUUAUCCGGAAUUACUGGGCGUAAAGGGUGCGUAGGUGGUUUCUUAAGUCAGAGGUGAAAGGCUACGGCUCAACCGUAGUAAGCCUUUGAAACUGGGAAACUUGAGUGCAGGAGAGGAGAGUGGAAUUCCCGGUGUAGAGGUGAAAUUCGUAGAUAUCGGGAGGAACACCAGUGGCGAAGGCGGUUUCCUGGCCUGAUACUGACACUGAGGCGCGAAAGCGUGGGGAGCAAACAGGAUUAGAUACCCUGGUAGUCCCUGAGCGGGCUGG